ACGGGAGGCAGCAGUGGGGGAUAUUGCACAAUGGGGGAAACCCUGAUGCAGCGACGCCGCGUGAGUGAAGAAGUUAUUCGUAAUGUAAAGCUCUAUCAGCAGGGAAGAAAAUGACGGUACCUGACUAAGAAGCCCCGGCUAACUACGUGCCAGCAGCCGCGGUAAUACGUAGGGGGCAAGCGUUAUCCGGAUUUACUGGGUGUAAAGGGUGCGUAGGUGGCAUGGCAAGUCUGAAGUGAAAUGCGGGGGCUCAACCCCUGAACUGCUUUGGAAACUGUCAAGCUUGAGUACAGGAGAGGAAAGCGGAAUUCCUAGUGUAGCGGUGAAAUGCGUAGAUAUUAGGAGGAACACCAGUGGCGAAGGCGGCUUUCUGGACUGUAACUGACACUGAGGCACGAAAGCGUGGGGAGCAAACAGGAUUAGAUACCCUGGUA
This 434-nucleotide ribosomal RNA is filed under the name uncultured Lachnospiraceae bacterium. Its description in RNAcentral is "partial 16S ribosomal RNA". It matches the Rfam family "Bacterial small subunit ribosomal RNA", at positions 341 to 792 of the family's 1533-position model. The record is from RNAcentral. Lineage: Bacteria; Bacillati; Bacillota; Clostridia; Lachnospirales; Lachnospiraceae.